Molecule: long non-coding RNA, 1645 nt
Organism: Piliocolobus tephrosceles (Ugandan red Colobus)
Lineage: Eukaryota; Metazoa; Chordata; Mammalia; Primates; Cercopithecidae
Source: Ensembl
GUAGUGACAGUAGUGACAGUAGUGACAAUAGUGACAGUAGUGACAGUAGUGACAGUAGUGACAGUAGCGAAAAAUCCUUUUUAAACGGUGAAAUCCUUAGCGAAGAAGAAAUUAACGAACAUAUGAAGUUUCAACAGUGGAGUGAUAAACUGGUAUGGUCAGACAAAGACUCGUUUUUCUACGACAAAAAUAAUAAAUGUUUAAAUACAAAGGAAUACGAAAAGAUUAAUCAAAUAAAUGAAAAGUUUUAUAAAAAUAAAUAUAUAUUAGAUGAUUGUUCCGUACAGUUAAUACCCUUUGAAUAUGUAAAAGAAAAAAAAGAAAAAUGUCAAUCCGUAACAAGAAUUAUAAAUUCAAAUAAAAAAUUAAGUUAUGACAUGUACAUAAAUAAAAAUCAAGGUAUGUUACAACCUGAAGUUAUUAGAAAAAAUGAGAAAAGUAAUGAUAAUAGUAUAGAUAAUAGCAUAGAUAAUAGCACUAAUCCUAACCAACAGAAUAUAACAAUUUCUACUAUAAUGGAUGAAGCAGAAGUUGAAAAGUUAAAGUCAACAAGUGACAUAAAUUUAUUAAAAAGAAUUAAUUUUAUAUUCCCAGUUGAAUCUUUAUAUACUAGUAUUUACAUUGGUAAAGAAGCUUUUAAUGAUUUUUUAGAAAAAGGAUUAAAUACUAUAAAAUCUGUUUUAAAUAAAAAUUUAUUAUUUUAUUAUGAACAUAACAUAAAAAAAGAUGAAACAGAAGAUAAAAUUUUACUUAUGUUUAUCCUAAAAUAUAUAAAAAAGUAUUUUUUACAUAUUAUAUAUAAAACAUAUAAAAAUAAAAUAUUGAACGAGAUGGAAAUUGAACAAGGUAUUAAUGUACAAUUAAGUGAUGAAAAUAAAAAAGUGUUACAUGGUGAAAUAUUUGCAGAAUAUGAAUAUGAAUAUGAAAACAUAAUUAAUAUAUUAAUUCAUUUUAUUAAAAAAAUAGAAAAUAUGUUUAAAAUAAAUGAAAAUGAUUUAUUAGAAUAUUUAAAAAAAAAAAAACCAAUAAUAAAUUAUACUACACCUUAUUCAUUUAAUAGUAAUAAAGAAAUAGAAACACAUAUAAAAAAUAUAUGGACUUUUUUUAAUUUUCAAAUUUUUCAAAAUAAAUUACCAUCUUUUGACAUUUUAAAUUUCUUUUGGAUUAACAGUAAAACAGAAAAUUUAUUACAUAUACCUGAUAUAAAAACAUAUAACAUUAUUAAUCAAAAUUUUAUUUCGUUGCCUAAUAUUUCAUUUUUGUCAGCUUUAAAGACUUCACCUUUGUUAUUAAAUUAUACUAUACUUAAAGUAAUGUAUGACUAUUAUAAAUUAAUAAAUGUAGAUAAAAUAUUAUUAUUUAAACAAAUUAAAGAUUAUGAAUCUAAUAAAAAAUUAGAUCUUAUGCAUCAAAAUAUUAUUAAAUUUGUUCAUGGUAUAUCAGGUUUAUUAGAAAAUAUAGAUUUUUAUUUUUAUACACCUUAUUUAGGAGAUUUAAAUUUAUCAGAUACUGAAUCAUUAGUUUUUUUUUCUUACUUAAGGGAUGUUACUUCAUCUAGUGAUAAAUUAUUUUACAAUUUAGAGUAUGAUAAUGAUACAUUUUUGUAUAAUCACUAUACUAACGAGCGGAGUAAUGAGCGGAGUAA